RNAcentral lists this ribosomal RNA (253 nucleotides) under uncultured bacterium. Its description in RNAcentral is "partial 16S ribosomal RNA". It matches the Rfam family "Bacterial small subunit ribosomal RNA", at positions 524 to 776 of the family's 1533-position model. The record is from RNAcentral.
UACAGAGGGUGCAAGCGUUAAUCGGAGUUACUGAGCGUAAAGGGCGCGUAGGCGGUUAUAUAAGUGAGAUGUGAAAUCCCUGGGCUCAACCUAGGAACUGCAUCUUAUACUGUAUGACUGGAGUAUUGUAGAGGGUAGUGGAAUUUCCGGUGUAGCGGUGAAAUGCGUAGAGAUCGGAAGGAACACCAGUGGCGAAGGCGGCUACCUGGACAAAUACUGACGCUGAGGCGCGAAAGCGUGGGGAGCAAACAGG